Long non-coding RNA from Acanthochromis polyacanthus (spiny chromis), 773 nucleotides. RefSeq lists it as uncharacterized. The record is from RefSeq and is a predicted model, not a curated record. The transcript is spliced from 3 exons. NCBI's taxonomy places the organism in Eukaryota, Metazoa, Chordata, Actinopteri, Pomacentridae.
CAGGUUAGUCAGAGGUUCUCUACAGGUUAAUCAGAGGUUCUCUACAGGUUAGUCAGAGGUUCUCUACAGGUUAGUCAGAGGUUCUCUACAGGUUCUCCAGAGGUUCUCUACAGGUUAGUCAGAGGUUCUCUACAGGUUAGUCAGAGGUUCUCUACAGGUUCUCCAGAGGUUCUCUGCAGGUUAGUCAGAGGUUCUCUACAGGUUCUCUACAGGUUAGUCAGAGGUUCUCUACAGGUUCUCCAGAGGUUCUCUACAGGUUAAUCAGAGGUUCUCUACAGGUUCUCUGGUUCCUCAUAGCCCUGUUCCUUGGAAGGUUCUCUAAAGGUUCUCCAUGUUUCUUCUCUGCUUUGUCAUCUGUUGUGGAGAACACCAGGGGUCUGUUUCAUGAAGCAGGUUUAACAAACUGAGUUUAAUCCUGAACUCUGAGUUGAUCUAUUCUGAGACAGAAACUCUGAGUUUUCGGUUCCACAGCGGCUGGUUUGAGUUGGUUUAAUGAACUUGGAGUAGUUUCACUGGGAGUUAAGCGCGUGCACCACACCUCUGAAAAGACAGCAUCAAUGGAUCUGAAGACGUGUGUCCAUCCAUCCUCUAUACACCGCUUUAUCCUCACUAGGGUCAUGGGGGGUGCUGGAGUCUAUCCCAGCUGACUCUGGUGAAGGCAGGGGACACCCUGGACAGGUCACCAGUCUGUCACAGGGCUACAUAUACAGACAGACAAUCACACUCACAUUCACACCUACGGACAAUUAGAGUAACCAAUUAACCUCAGCAUG